GUGAGCUUAAUUCAGUUGGUAGGAUAUUGCAUAUGAUAUGCAGGGGCCACGGUUCGAAUCCUGGAUAUCCCA
This 72-nucleotide transfer RNA is filed under the name Medicago truncatula (barrel medic). RNAcentral's name for it is "tRNA-OTHER". Lineage: Eukaryota; Viridiplantae; Streptophyta; Magnoliopsida; Fabales; Fabaceae. The record is from RNAcentral.